Molecule: ribosomal RNA, 1356 nt
Filed under: Staphylococcus aureus
Lineage: Bacteria; Bacillati; Bacillota; Bacilli; Caryophanales; Staphylococcaceae
Description: bacterial SSU rRNA
Rfam family: Bacterial small subunit ribosomal RNA
Source: RNAcentral
GGUUCAAAAGUGAAAGACGGUCUUGCUGUCACUUAUAGAUGGAUCCGCGCUGCAUUAGCUAGUUGGUAAGGUAACGGCUUACCAAGGCAACGAUGCAUAGCCGACCUGAGAGGGUGAUCGGCCACACUGGAACUGAGACACGGUCCAGACUCCUACGGGAGGCAGCAGUAGGGAAUCUUCCGCAAUGGGCGAAAGCCUGACGGAGCAACGCCGCGUGAGUGAUGAAGGUCUUCGGAUCGUAAAACUCUGUUAUUAGGGAAGAACAUAUGUGUAAGUAACUGUGCACAUCUUGACGGUACCUAAUCAGAAAGCCACGGCUAACUACGUGCCAGCAGCCGCGGUAAUACGUAGGUGGCAAGCGUUAUCCGGAAUUAUUGGGCGUAAAGCGCGCGUAGGCGGUUUUUUAAGUCUGAUGUGAAAGCCCACGGCUCAACCGUGGAGGGUCAUUGGAAACUGGAAAACUUGAGUGCAGAAGAGGAAAGUGGAAUUCCAUGUGUAGCGGUGAAAUGCGCAGAGAUAUGGAGGAACACCAGUGGCGAAGGCGACUUUCUGGUCUGUAACUGACGCUGAUGUGCGAAAGCGUGGGGAUCAAACAGGAUUAGAUACCCUGGUAGUCCACGCCGUAAACGAUGAGUGCUAAGUGUUAGGGGGUUUCCGCCCCUUAGUGCUGCAGCUAACGCAUUAAGCACUCCGCCUGGGGAGUACGACCGCAAGGUUGAAACUCAAAGGAAUUGACGGGGACCCGCACAAGCGGUGGAGCAUGUGGUUUAAUUCGAAGCAACGCGAAGAACCUUACCAAAUCUUGACAUCCUUUGACAACUCUAGAGAUAGAGCUUUCCCCUUCGGGGGACAAAGUGACAGGUGGUGCAUGGUUGUCGUCAGCUCGUGUCGUGAGAUGUUGGGUUAAGUCCCGCAACGAGCGCAACCCUUAAGCUUAGUUGCCAUCAUUAAGUUGGGCACUCUAAGUUGACUGCCGGUGACAAACCGGAGGAAGGUGGGGAUGACGUCAAAUCAUCAUGCCCCUUAUGAUUUGGGCUACACACGUGCUACAAUGGACAAUACAAAGGGCAGCGAAACCGCGAGGUCAAGCAAAUCCCAUAAAGUUGUUCUCAGUUCGGAUUGUAGUCUGCAACUCGACUACAUGAAGCUGGAAUCGCUAGUAAUCGUAGAUCAGCAUGCUACGGUGAAUACGUUCCCGGGUCUUGUACACACCGCCCGUCACACCACGAGAGUUUGUAACACCCGAAGCCGGUGGAGUAACCUUUUAGGAGCUAGCCGUCGAAGGUGGGACAAAUGAUUGGGGUGAAGUCGUAACAAGGUAGCCGUAUCGGAAGGUGCGGCUGGAUCACCUCCUUU